GCCUUAAUAGUUUAAAUAUAAAACUUUGGUCUUGUAAAUCAAAAAUGAAUCUCUUUUCUUAAGGCU
Molecule: transfer RNA, 66 nt
Filed under: Gebiacantha plantae
Lineage: Eukaryota; Metazoa; Arthropoda; Malacostraca; Decapoda; Upogebiidae
Description: tRNA-Thr
Rfam family: tRNA
About the family: Transfer RNA (tRNA) molecules are approximately 80 nucleotides in length. Their secondary structure includes four short double-helical elements and three loops (D, anti-codon, and T loops). Further hydrogen bonds mediate the characteristic L-shaped molecular structure. tRNAs have two regions of fundamental functional importance: the anti-codon, which is responsible for specific mRNA codon recognition, and the 3' end, to which the tRNAs corresponding amino acid is attached (by aminoacyl-tRNA synthetases). tRNAs cope with the degeneracy of the genetic code in two manners: having more than one tRNA (with a specific anti-codon) for a particular amino acid; and 'wobble' base-pairing, i.e. permitting non-standard base-pairing at the 3rd anti-codon position.
Source: RNAcentral